GACAGCAUAGCCAAGUGGUUACGGCGACAGAUUAGAAUAUCCUCUGAGGAGAAUAGCCUACCAUCUGUUCCUCUUUGAGGGCGCAGGUUCGAAUCCUGCUGUUGUCG
Non-coding RNA from Panus rudis PR-1116 ss-1, 107 nucleotides. The record is from the annotation of a GenBank genome assembly. NCBI's taxonomy places the organism in Eukaryota, Fungi, Basidiomycota, Agaricomycetes, Polyporales, Panaceae.